Molecule: transfer RNA, 80 nt
Filed under: Aerococcus urinae
Lineage: Bacteria; Bacillati; Bacillota; Bacilli; Lactobacillales; Aerococcaceae
Also listed under: 5 other names
Description: tRNA-Leu
Rfam family: tRNA
About the family: Transfer RNA (tRNA) molecules are approximately 80 nucleotides in length.
Source: RNAcentral
GCAGGCGUGGCGGAACGGCAGACGCGCUGUCUUCAGGCGGCAGUUUCUUUGAAGUGUGGGUUCAAAUCCCAUCGCCUGCA